UGAAUUUAUAUGAUGAAAAAGAAAACAAUGUGGACGCUCAGAUUUAUUCUUCACGUAAGGAGCCCUUACUCCUCACGUAAGCACAUCCCGUGUUCUUGCUGCAGCCGCCUUCUUAUCUAUCCCCGGGCGUUCUUUCCGUGGUGCCUUUGGCUUGAUCCCGUAGGCACUGUUCGCCUCACUUCAGCAUCGCCCCACAGAUGAUGGUUAUGUGCGGCCAAUUCCUCUACGACUCAACGAUCCAAUCUGGUGCGAUCUUUCCCAAUCUCGAUUUGUUUUCCAGCGAGGACUGAAAAGUUGGGUCUGCUAUUUUCAUAAUGUAUUGCUGGUGUUGUGACCGUGGACGACGGAUUCGUGGCAGCCCACAGCGCCAGUAGCGCUGCUUUGUACGCGGCGGCGGCAUGUUCAGAAGCGCGUAAAGUAGAUCCACUUGCAUCGCAGCAGUCAACACGUACAUGUGUACGCAACCAGACAUACAGAUGCGGAAUACAUGAGCAUGAUUGAGGAUUGCUGAGGUAUGAAAAGAUAUGAGGAAGGUUUCGGCCGGGGCAAUGGCAAAUUGAUAAUUACAACAGGCGCAACGUGUGUAUAUUUUCUAGGGAACAUGCCUACUUUUUGUAAGCAUCACAAUGCAUACAUUUAUUUUAACAACCAAGGAGCACAGGUUUUUCAUGUUGUUAUGUAUUCAUUCUUCUUUCUAGGGAAUCUAUUUAUUCUCCCUUUUUUCUUAAUUCCCAUUGGAAUGCUUCCUGCUAAUACUUCAUUCCAGUUUCAAGUUGAGAUGGGCUAACUUUCCGCCAUCUAUCUAUUACAUGGCACAGUAAGAUAAGUUUUUAUGGCACAAGGCAUUUCUUUAAGUGAGGCGUAUUCUCUUGAUGGCUAGCUCAUCUUUCAGGGUAGUCACUAUUCAAUAAGGAAUAAUUUUUCGUCCACGUCACAGGUAUCAGCGACCAUGGUAAAUAGUUAUACCAGUUACAAAAAAAAAAUGAUGCUAAACAUGUGCAUAAUAAUGUUUAUCCAAAUAUAUAAUUUGUCUCUUCUUCUGUUCAUAGGCCUUCUCAAACCAGACUAACUACCCAUAACAUCUUCACUUUGACUACCUUUCUAUUUCAAUUGAGAAGUUUUCCUUGGCAAUGGAAUUUAAAUGGAUUCUUACAUCCUUUGUGUUACUUUUCCCAUGAAAAACAACCUGUAGUUCUAUUUUUACAAAAUUAUAUGGAUGUAAUGUAGGAGUAUUCUUUUUUCUGUCCUUUGAGCCUCCACUUUUCUGAUAUUUGUUGCUCCUUGAAGACGUUAAUUUUUGAAGAUUGUAUGCUUAAUGUUGUUUCUACGGUACGAAGUAUAAUCUAUGAUUAUCUACAAGAUAUAUCAAAGCUAUCGAUCUAUUGAGUGCAGAUAGAUUCACUUAAAGAAUAUGUAGACCAUUAUUAGUUGACAUAAUUCACUACUACUCCUUCCAACCCAAAAUAAGUGCCUUUGGUUCAUACAACUUUGUACUAAAGUUGUACUAAGCCAAAGGCACUUAUUUUGGGAUGGAGGGAGUAUUAAUUAUGUGAAGCACAUAAAAGAGCACUUGAAAUAUGAUAUGUGAAAAUAUGUACCAUAUUUCCUGUAGGUCACUUCUCUAAAAUCCAUAUCCACCCAAAAAAUCAAGAAGACUUCGAGAAAGUGGAUUAUUCAUUUGAAAUAUCAUCGUCUAAAGCCUUUUUUGCAGUACAACAAAGUUGGCCGUAAAUAGAAACAUGUAGAACAUAAGUACUUCACACAUCCAGCUUUAUUUUUUCAUGGGCUGCCUCAUUAAAACAUGUGUGGCAUAUGUACCGAAAAUAAGAAAUAUGUUAUACAUUGUCAGGAGAAAUCUGAGAUUUUUUAUAUGCUGUGUCAAAUAGUUCAAAAAUAUUAAAUGUUAGGAGUCAUUACAUUAUAAGAGUCACAUAUGCGCAUGAUUACAUUUACUUAAUUAAGCUACUGUUUGCACCAAAAGCUUUCAAGGAAGGUUUGUCUGAACACUUUCAUGCCUAUUGGUGGGGAUAUAUGCAAAUACACCCAAUUCUCUUACUGAUGUACAUGUGAAGCUCCAAGGGCAUCCUUGACGACACGAUAUUAGAAAAGUCACCUUCUUCUCUUAAUUCCUGAUUAUUAUUAUUUUUGCAUUUUGAUGUUCUUAUUUAUGCAAUACAUGCAUUGGAAGAAAAGGUUCCAUGUUUGCAUCAUAUGCCAGUGUAUGGGGACAUGGUUUUUCUUUGUGAUGGAAUAUCCUUCGUAGUCAUGAAUUUGAGGGAAAUUUAUUUAUCAUGAAAGUUGUGGUUUUCUAAUAUAUUUUAUGCAU
Triticum aestivum (bread wheat) is the source of this 2326-nucleotide long non-coding RNA. RefSeq lists it as uncharacterized. NCBI's taxonomy places the organism in Eukaryota, Viridiplantae, Streptophyta, Magnoliopsida, Poales, Poaceae. The record is from RefSeq and is a predicted model, not a curated record. The transcript has 3 exons.